RNAcentral lists this non-coding RNA (31 nucleotides) under Rattus norvegicus (Norway rat). Lineage: Eukaryota; Metazoa; Chordata; Mammalia; Rodentia; Muridae. The record is from RNAcentral.
UCCUGGAUCUGAAGGAAUCAAGUUUUGAAAU